GCCCGGUCGUACUCAUAACCGCA
This 23-nucleotide small nuclear RNA is filed under the name Arabidopsis thaliana (thale cress). Its description in RNAcentral is "snRNA_18099". The record is from RNAcentral. Lineage: Eukaryota; Viridiplantae; Streptophyta; Magnoliopsida; Brassicales; Brassicaceae.